Molecule: ribosomal RNA, 406 nt
Filed under: uncultured bacterium
Lineage: Bacteria
Description: partial 16S ribosomal RNA
Rfam family: Bacterial small subunit ribosomal RNA
Source: RNAcentral
AUUGAACGCUGGCGGCAGGCCUAACACAUGCAAGUCGAACGAGUGGCGGACGGGUGAGUAAUGUCUGGGAAACUGGCUGAUGGAGGGGGAUAACUACUGGAAACUGUAGCUAAUACCGCGUACCAUAAGAUGAGCCCAAGUGGGAUUAGGUAGUUGUGGGGGUAAAGGCUCACCAAGGCGACGAUCCCUAGCUGGUCUGAGAGGAGGACCAGCCACACUGGGACUGAGACACGGCCCAGACUCCUACGGGAGGCAGCAGUGGGGAAUAUUGCGCAAUGGGGGCAACCCUGAUGCAGCCAUGCCGCGUGAAUGAAGAAGGCCUUCGGGUUGUAAAGUACUUUCAGUGGGGAGGCGUUACCCACAGAAGAAGCACCGGCUAACUCCGUGCCAGCAGCCGCGGUAAUAC